CCGGAUCUCAGAUCAAG
Molecule: ribosomal RNA, 17 nt
Filed under: Pseudo-nitzschia pseudodelicatissima
Lineage: Eukaryota; Bacillariophyta; Bacillariophyceae; Bacillariales; Bacillariaceae
Also listed under: 1 other name
Description: partial 28S ribosomal RNA
Source: RNAcentral